UACAGAGGUCUCAAGCGUUGUUCGGAUUCAUUGGGCGUAAAGGGUGCGUAGGUGGCGAGGCAAGUCUGAUGUGAAAUCCCGGGGCUCAACCCCCGGAACUGCAUUGGAUACUGCCCUGCUUGAGCACUGGAGAGGAGACUGGAAUUUACGGUGUAGCAGUGAAAUGCGUAGAUAUCGUAAGGAAGACCAGUGGCGAAGGCGAGUCUCUGGACAGUUGCUGACACUGAGGCACGAAGGCUAGGGGAGCAAACGGG
Molecule: ribosomal RNA, 254 nt
Filed under: uncultured bacterium
Lineage: Bacteria
Description: partial 16S ribosomal RNA
Rfam family: Bacterial small subunit ribosomal RNA
Source: RNAcentral